CCUACGGGGGGCAGCAGUGAGGAAUAUUGGUCAAUGGGCGGGAGCCUGAACCAGCCAAGUCGCGUGAGGGAAGACGGUCCUAUGGAUUGUAAACCUCUUUAGGCGGGGAGCAAUGCCGGGCACGCGUGCCCGGAGGGAGAGUACCCGCAGAAUAAGCAUCGGCUAACUCCGUGCCAGCAGCCGCGGUAAUACGGAGGAUGCGAGCGUUAUCCGGAUUUAUUGGGUUUAAAGGGUGCGUAGGCGGAGUUUUAAGUCAGAGGUAAAAUGUACGGGCUCAAGCCGGGCCGGCCGUUGAAACUGGGGAGCUUGAGUGGGCGAGAAGUAUGCGGAAUGCGUGGUGUAGCGGUGAAAUGCAUAGAUAUCACGCAGAACUCCGAUUGCGAAGGCAGCAUACCGGCGCCCGACUGACGCUGAGGCACGAAAGCGUGGGGAUCGAACAGGAUUAGAUACCCCAGUAGUC
This 460-nucleotide ribosomal RNA is filed under the name uncultured bacterium. RNAcentral describes it as "partial 16S ribosomal RNA". It matches the Rfam family "Bacterial small subunit ribosomal RNA", at positions 338 to 795 of the family's 1533-position model. The record is from RNAcentral.